Molecule: long non-coding RNA, 1535 nt
Organism: Xiphophorus hellerii (green swordtail)
Lineage: Eukaryota; Metazoa; Chordata; Actinopteri; Cyprinodontiformes; Poeciliidae
Exons: 2
Source: RefSeq, a predicted model, not a curated record
GCGGUUUGUUCCUGUGUUCAUGCAGAUGAUGAUGAUGAUGAGCUGUUUGUGCUGCGGAGGAACUGAAGGGCUGCAGAUCGCUCCGUCUGGAGCCAUGAAGCUCCACGGUCUGCAGCGAUGCUGCGAGGCGAUGCUGUGAGUGUGUACCGGGUCGCCAUGGUACCGAAACACAAGUCCAACCCUCCAGAACCGCAGCAGAAUGUUCUGAAGCUGACUGGAUGAAGCUUUGAUCUUCUGCUCAAAACCAAAGAGGCGUUUUUAUUUCUGGACCUCAGUGAAACGUGUUCUCUCUGAACCAGUUCCUAUGGAUUCGGUUCUGGUUCUCCCUGCGUCUCUGCAGCGUCACACAGCGGCUGAGCUCUGCCGGUUCUGUGAGGGAUUCUUCCUGCAGAAUCUGGACCGGCUGCUGGACAGAGAGGACUUCCACCGGCUGUUGCUAGGCGACACCAGUAAGGGAGGGCCGUCUGGGUCGGGACGGGACCAGAACCCGGACCUCCUGCCGGUUCUGAGGAGCCUGGAAGCGGCGCUGAUCCACAGACUUUCUGAGCUGCAUGCUGCAUGUAGAGGGCAGAAGUUCUGACCGGAUGGACCGGAUCGUCUCUGGUUGGUACCACAAACAAACAUCUGGUUCUACUUUUCACAUCUGCAUUUCAUCUGAAGCAGGUUCUGAUCGGUAAAAUAUCUACAACAUAAAACCCGGUUAAACCUCCAACCGUCCUCUAAUGACUCUCUACUGUUACAGUAAAGUUUCCUUCUGCUUAUUACGUCUAAACAUUUUAAUUCACACCUUUAUUUUUCAUUCAAGCUGCUCCUUUUCCAUGUUCAUGAAUGGAAAAGUUGCAGCUGCAACGAUUUUGCACCAGUUUGAAUUUAUUGCUGUUUGGUAUUUUAAAUAAUCUGAAUUAUCAUCAUGGUUCAUGAAAGAUGACCCAGCUGGUUAUUAGGUUUACUUUUACACAAAGCGCAGAUUAAUAAACUACUACAUAAUAUUAACACUUUAAAUGUUGGGAUCAAUCACAUCGUUAACAAUCCCAGUUAUUAGAAAUAAUUUCCCAUCGUGCCGUUUUCACUCACUCAGUUAAAACUGAAUAUUUCUGAAUAAAUAAACUACAUGAAGUAUGAAACCUGCCAAAGUCAACAGAUUUAUUCCUUUAGCACUGAAUUUGUUCACAGUAACAUCACAAGGGAAUACAUUGCCAGUGGUUCUCCUGCUCCGAGUCCGUUCAGUGUGCUCUGGAUUCCCGCGGUAGAAAAAGCGAAGGAUGGAAGGUAUUGCUUUAGGUUUCCUCUGAACCGAGUCCGUCUCCGAGAAACAUGAGUGAUUAGGAUGCAAGUUUACUGUGUGCUUACAGUAAUCAGAUAUAAAGGGGAGGAAGGAAGAGGCUGGCAAAAGAAUGAAUUAAUAUCAAAAAUAACAAAUCUGAAGGUAAAAUUAAUGAGAAAGCUCAGAUAAAAAAAUGCAUAAAAACCUAGACACAAAAAGGGAACGGGUGAACAUUUCAACAGCGACAUGCAAAGAAAAGACGAAUGCUGAA